This 253-nucleotide ribosomal RNA is filed under the name uncultured bacterium. RNAcentral's name for it is "partial 16S ribosomal RNA". It matches the Rfam family "Bacterial small subunit ribosomal RNA", at positions 524 to 776 of the family's 1533-position model. The record is from RNAcentral.
UACGGAGGGAGCUAGCGUUGUUCGGAAAUACUGGGCGUAAAGCGCACGUAGGCGGCGCAGCAAGUCAGGGGUGAAAUCCCGGGGCUCAACCCCGGAACUGCCCUUGAAACUGCAGUGCUAGAAUCUUGGAGAGGCGAGUGGAAUUCCGAGUGUAGAGGUGAAAUUCGUAGAUAUUCGCAAGAACACCAGUGGCGAAGGCGGCUCACUGGUCCGGAUCUGACGCUGAGGCGCGAAAGCGUGGGGAGCAAACAGG